CCCAGGUUCACCUCGCAUGCUCCACUCUCUCAGAGCCCUGCUUUUCUGGCCUGUAAAUUUGUGGUAAUGACGCCUCUCUCACAGAGCAUCUCGUUCCUAGAUGAUCUCUGCCACUUCUCUGCUCUGCCACGCUUGAACCACUCCACCGUGGUUUAGCGAAGAUCCAGUAUGUCCCAGGCACCGCACUAGAAGACCUCACUUCUUCAAUUACCCUCAAACCUCAUCUUUUCCUCUGAACCCUGGGAGCACAAGACAUGGAAGAAACAGAAGACUCACGCUGGAGAGGCAAAGUGGCUUCUAGAGCCAGGCCCUUGGCAGGCCUCCUUUCAGAAGGACAUCUGAAGCUGUCUCCAGGCCAGCCAGAGCAAGCCCCUGCCCACGGAGUCACCCCCUCAAUUAGGUCUGAACUUGCUCUUCCGGAAGUGACUUGUGAAGCUGGUGGAGCUGGUUUUGGGAGGGAAGAAGAACAUGGAGUCAGGCCAGAGGGGACCUUUGUCUCGUCCAGCUCUGGACCAUUCCUGAGGCACCUGCUUUGGUAGAAGAAACCAUUGUGGCUGUGCCUCCGAAUGUGUGCAUGUCUCUCUCUAUCCGUAUGCCUCCCCAUUCACCCAGGGGGCUCCCGUGCACAUCUGUGUAGAGUCUCCCUUCAUCUCACAAGCUGUGAGGCCACAGGCAGCUGAUUCAAACCACCUGACCUCUAUUUUCCUUGUCUGUAUAAUGGGAAUAAUAAUAAGUUCUACAAAAAGUUACUGUGGUGGCAAAAUGAAAAUGUGCAUAAGCUCUUUAGCACAGUUCCUGGUGCUCUUGUGUUAGGUUAUUAUUACCAGAUGCCUAAUGCAAGUUACCUAACCUCCCUGUGCCUCAGUUUCCCCAUGCGUAAAUUGGGAAUAAUACCAGAACCUAGUGUUGUUGUGAGGAUUAAAGAAGUUGAUACCUACAAAGUACUUG
Molecule: long non-coding RNA, 948 nt
Filed under: Equus caballus (horse)
Lineage: Eukaryota; Metazoa; Chordata; Mammalia; Perissodactyla; Equidae
Description: lncRNA (ENSECAG00000057324.1)
Source: RNAcentral